AGUAAGGUGGCCGAGUAUAGGCGGUAAAUUGUAAAUUUACUUACGAGUUUGACUCUCUUGCUA
This 63-nucleotide transfer RNA is filed under the name Cheirotonus jansoni. RNAcentral's name for it is "tRNA-Tyr". The record is from RNAcentral. Lineage: Eukaryota; Metazoa; Arthropoda; Insecta; Coleoptera; Scarabaeidae.